UACAGAGGGUGCAAGCGUUAAUCGGAAUUACUGGGCGUAAAGGGCGCGUAGGCGGAGUAUUAAGUUAGAUGUGAAAUCCCUGGGCUUAACCUGGGAAUGGCAUUUAAUACUGAUAAUCUAGAGUAGAGUAGGGGGAAGUGGAAUUUCCGGUGUAGCGGUGAAAUGCGUAGAGAUCGGAAAGAACACCAGUGGCGAAGGCGGCUUCCUGGACUCAUACUGACGCUGAGGCGCGAAAGCGUGGGGAGCAAACAGG
This 253-nucleotide ribosomal RNA is filed under the name uncultured bacterium. Its description in RNAcentral is "partial 16S ribosomal RNA". It matches the Rfam family "Bacterial small subunit ribosomal RNA", at positions 524 to 776 of the family's 1533-position model. The record is from RNAcentral.